This 192-nucleotide ribosomal RNA is filed under the name Triticum aestivum (bread wheat). Its description in RNAcentral is "partial small subunit ribosomal RNA". Lineage: Eukaryota; Viridiplantae; Streptophyta; Magnoliopsida; Poales; Poaceae. The record is from RNAcentral.
GAUGGAAAGAGGAAGACUGCAUGGGUGUCGUGGGAUGAUUUGACCAUACCCAAAUACAUGGAGGGCUUGGGCUUCCGGGAUACUGAACUGUUUAACCUAGCCAUGUUAGCAAAGUAGGGAUGGAGAAUCUUACAAGAGCCGACCUCAUUAAGCGCUAGACUUCUUAAAGCAAAGUAUUUUUCCUUUGGUUGA